UAGGGAAUCUUCGGCAAUGGGGGCAACCCUGACCGAGCAACGCCGCGUGAGUGAAGAAGGUUUUCGGAUCGUAAAGCUCUGUUGUAAGUCAAGAACGGGUGUGAGAGUGGAAAGUUCACACUGUGACGGUAGCUUACCAGAAAGGGACGGCUAACUACGUGCCAGCAGCCGCGGUAAUACGUAGGUCCCGAGCGUUGUCCGGAUUUAUUGGGCGUAAAGCGAGCGCAGGCGGUUUGAUAAGUCUGAAGUUAAAGGCUGUGGCUCAACCAUAGUUCGCUUUGGAAACUGGCAAACUUGAGUGCAGAAGGGGAGAGUGGAAUUCCAUGUGUAGCGGUGAAAUGCGUAGAUAUAUGGAGGAACACCGGUGGCGAAAGCGGCUCUCUGGUCUGUAACUGACGCUGAGGCUCGAAAGCGUGGGGAGCGAACAGG
Molecule: ribosomal RNA, 429 nt
Filed under: bacterium
Lineage: Bacteria
Description: partial 16S ribosomal RNA
Rfam family: Bacterial small subunit ribosomal RNA
Source: RNAcentral